Molecule: ribosomal RNA, 307 nt
Filed under: uncultured eukaryote
Lineage: Eukaryota
Description: partial large subunit ribosomal RNA
Rfam family: Eukaryotic large subunit ribosomal RNA
Source: RNAcentral
UUAUCAAUAAGCGGAGGAAAAGAAACCAACAGGGAUUGCCUCAGUAACGGCGAGUGAAGCGGCAACAGCUCAAAUUUGAAAUCUGGCACAAGCCCGAGUUGUAAUUUGCAGAGGAUGCUUUGGAGUCGUCCCCGGUCUAAGUUCCUUGGAACAGGAUGCCGCAGAGGGUGAGAGUCCCGUACGCGGCUGGGUGCCUUCUCCGGUAAAGCUCCUUCGACGAGUCGAGUUGUUUGGGAAUGCAGCUCUAAAUGGGAGGUAAAUUUCUUCUAAAGCUAAAUACUGGCCAGAGACCGAUAGCGCACACGUA